GUCCAGACUCCUACGGGAGGCAGCAGUGAGGAAUAUUGGUCAAUGGGCGGAAGCCUGAACCAGCCAAGUCGCGUGAGGGAAUAAGGCCCUACGGGUCGUAAACCUCUUUUGCCGGGGAGCAAGGGCCGGGACGCGUCCCGGCCCGGAGAGUACCCGGAGAAAAAGCAUCGGCUAACUCCGUGCCAGCAGCCGCGGUAAUACGGAGGAUCCGAGCGUUAUCCGGAUUUAUUGGGUUUAAAGGGAGCGUAGAUGGGUUGUUAAGUCAGUUGUGAAAGUUUGCGGCUCAACCGUAAAAUUGCAAUUGAUACUGGCAGUCUUGAGUACAGUUGAGGUAGGCGGAAUUCGUGGUGUAGCGGUGAAAUGCUUAGAUAUCACGAAGAACUCCGAUUGCGAAGGCAGCUUACUAAACUGCCACUGACAUUGAUGCUCGAAAGUGUGGGUAUCAAACAGGAUUAGAUACCCCAGUA
RNAcentral lists this ribosomal RNA (467 nucleotides) under uncultured bacterium. Its description in RNAcentral is "bacterial SSU rRNA". It matches the Rfam family "Bacterial small subunit ribosomal RNA", at positions 329 to 792 of the family's 1533-position model. The record is from RNAcentral.